Long non-coding RNA from Silurus meridionalis, 1132 nucleotides. RefSeq lists it as uncharacterized. The record is from RefSeq and is a predicted model, not a curated record. Lineage: Eukaryota; Metazoa; Chordata; Actinopteri; Siluriformes; Siluridae. The transcript has 5 exons.
GGUAAUGGAGCUCACCUGUUCACAAGUAUUGUCAUAAAUAUCCCAGGCAUCCAAACACAUUUUGUGAAGCUCUUUAAUUGUGUUUCAUUUCAAAAUAAUUCUAUGGUUGACAUACACUUGGAGAGUAGACCACUGGAAUUCUGACUUCAGUACUGCGCCCUCUGUCUGUGAUCGAGAAUGACUUCAGCUCUUCAAACAGAUCAGAUCUGGUGACCUGCAUCUAGUUGGCAUUGACAGAAAGACAGCGGGGCAAACACAAGUUCAUGCCUGCACACAUUUGGACCUAGCAACAACUACCAGCAUGCUCGUGGGAUGAAUCACGCUGCAAGACUAGGAGGAAAGAAUCACGAGGACGUACAUUUAAACAGAACAUCAUCUCCAUCAUGCCAGCGUUCACUCUUCUCAAAGGAGAUUUCUCGCCGAGCCGAGGCCAGCCCCAACAAGGACGGCGAGCGCAUUUACAAGAACAAAAAGCCAGAAAUGGAGAGAUGGGAGCUGGAAAACGAUAGCUUCUCUAGCGCCUCUCUUGCCGUUUGGCUAACGGGGCUAAUGGGAUAAGCAGACUGUAGGAGUAUACGACACAAAAGGGCUUUGUGCUAAAAUGAGUGACACUUCCCCAGGCUAGUGCCAUGCUACACUGAGCUGCUAUUGUGGAAGUAAAAAGGGUUUGAGGUUGAAAAGGACGCGUUGGUUAGCAAGAGUCUGCCUUCAAAAACACUGCAGACUCCCUCUGUAUCGGAUCUGGUGAUGCAAGUCAUGAAGAGAGCAGCGCUAGAAGAAGUGAAGAGAAGAAAGAUGAGGAACAAGAGAACGGUCGUUGUUGCUGCUGUUGCCUCAUUUCUAUAAUGGGUUCUGUUAUUCGCUAAGCUAUCAUUGUGCUGUACAUUUCCAAAAAGGCCAAAAAAAAUACUUCAAAAAUGUUUUACCAAAACAGUACACAACGUUAUCAAGUCAUUUAUUCUGUCAUGCUAAAGUACAUAAUGCUUAUUUGCACAUCAAGAGGUUUGUUACGACUCGGGAUUGCAGAACACAUCGCUAACACAUUCUGCCGAGUUUCUGCUUUCAUCCUUCUGAAAGACGAAAAGCAGGCUUAGCGUUAGCAUUAAUAAAUAAAUGUGAAGGUGUCAAUUGA